GAUGAAGAACGUAGCGAAAUGCGAUAAGUAAUGUGAAUUGCAGAAUUCAGUGAAUCAUCGAAUCUUUGAACGCACAUUGCGCCCGCCAGUAUUCUGGCGGGCAUGCCUGUUCGAGCGUCAUUUCAACCAUCAAGCCCCCGGCUUGUGAUGGGGACCUGCGGCUGCCGCAGGCCCUGAAAACCAGUGGCGGGCUCGCUAGUCACUCCGAGCGUAGUAAUACAUCUCGCUCAGGGCGUGCUGCGGGUUCCGGCCGUUAAAAAGCCUUAUUUACCCAAGGUUGACCUCGGAUCAGGUAGGAAGACCCGCUGAACUUAAGCAUAUCAAUAAGCGGAGGA
This 335-nucleotide unclassified non-coding RNA is filed under the name soil metagenome. RNAcentral describes it as "partial contains 5.8S ribosomal RNA, internal transcribed spacer 2, and large subunit ribosomal RNA". The stretch from base 1 to 120 matches the Rfam family "5.8S ribosomal RNA", at positions 35 to 154 of the family's 154-position model. The record is from RNAcentral.